Long non-coding RNA from Cyprinus carpio (common carp), 1967 nucleotides. NCBI's taxonomy places the organism in Eukaryota, Metazoa, Chordata, Actinopteri, Cypriniformes, Cyprinidae. The record is from Ensembl.
GCUAUAUGUAUUAUAUUUCAUUUAAAAUUCGCAUUUAUUUGGUUAUGUAUGUUUUUGUGAUGCCUUGACAAUUAAAAAAAAAAAGGAAAUCUUGAAAUGUACCAUGUUUUCCACUGAGCGGCGCUACGCCCUAAUAAAAUCUCCUAGGUUGGAGAGAAAUCUUGAAGAAUUGUGCUGCUUUUUUCUGUUUCUUUAACGUUAACGACGACUCUUUUAGCUCUUUUAACCAAGAAAAAAGCGUGAGAAAAUAUACAGAUCUCAAGGACUAAUAUAUUCAGAUUUUGUGCACUUUUUUCUUUUAAAUUUAUUGCAAAAUUUCUAGCAAGCAGUCAGAUUCUCUUGCACUCAACGCAUUGAUCUGUAAAACGACGGAGCUCCCAGUGAACAGCACGUGAAACAUCAGAUAAGCAGAUCCUGUACACUUUAUUGUCGUUUGGACAGCAGUAGCAGAGGCAGAUCAUUUCCCAUCUGUCAAGUCAACCAUGGCAAAUCAUGGUUAGAAAGUGUAUUGUGUACGUUUUGAUCUAGAUGUUAACAAAAGAUGGGAAGCAUAUGAGACCUCUCAUAAAAGAGAUUUAAUCUAUAGAUCCAUCUCAUGUCUUCCAAUUCUAAGGUGAGAUUUUAUUAUUAUUAUUUUUUUUUUAAAGAAAUGUGAUGCAAAUGUCAGAGGUAGGAUUCAUCUAAAUUUUUACUUGUUUCAAACACAAGGCCAAAAAAAUCUGGCAAUAUCUAUAGAAAUUCAUUUGCACUGGAUGAUUCGGUGGAAGCAACUACAUACAGUGAAGAUUUCUGCUGGAAGCCUGUGUCAAAGACAGCUUGCAUAAGGUCUGCCACAGCAUCAGGAAACCGAAGGUACAAUCCACACCCAAGCCAGGCGUUCAUGGUAUGGAGGCAUUCUGCAGAUCAAAUGAAAUGUUUUAGUGGUAGUUCCCCUCUUCAGCUCCCUUUGACUGAGAAGGAAAUCUAAAAGGCUGUAAGUGCCCAGUACAGGUCGACCUACAGGACUGACUUUCUUGGAUUACCUCAAGGUGAAUUUUAGGAAUUAUUGCACAGACAAUUGUUUAUACAUUUCAAAGCCAUUUGAAUCUUAUUUAAUAUCAAGGUCUUGUGAUUCCAAAGAUUAUUAUAUGUCAUGUUAUAACAACUUUUUAUGUUCUGUCUAAAUCACAGGAAUUAUGAAAAACCAUGCGACCUUUGCACCUUGUAACCGCAGCCAUGUUGUCCACUACUAUACCUAGACUGAAAUAAGACAUAACUACCACCCACCCAAACUGAAACUUGAGCUUCUGGGGAACAACUCUCGCUAUGGGUGCAAUAAGCUGCAUGGUGUAGCAGCGAGGGGUAUUGGUAAGCUUCUACUAAACUGUUACGUUUCUGUUUGUGUGCAUUGGGGAUGAAAGACCAAACUACUUUGUUUGAAACUGAUAUGACAGCAAUCCCCUGCAGUAGUCUAGACACAAUGUAAUCACAAAGGAGUAGACUGGACACACAAUGAUCAGAUUUAAAGGAAUAGUUUGGAGAAAUUCAGCAUUACAUCACUUGCUCACCAAUGGAUUCUCUGUGGUGAAUGAGUGCUGUCAGAAUGAGAGUCCAAACAGCUGAUAAAAACAUCACAAUAAUCCUUAAUAUGAUUAAAAAUCAGGCAGUUAGUGAAGUGACAUACAGCCCAGUAUGGUGACCCAUACUCAAAAUUCGUGCUCUGCAUUUAACCCAUCCAAAGUGCACACACACAGCAGUGAACACACACACACACAGUGAACAGCCAUUUAUGCUGCGGCGCCCGGGGAGCAGUUGGGGGUUCGGUGCCUUGCUCAAGGGCACCUCAGUCGUGGUAUUGCUGGCCCGAAACUCGAACCCACAACCUUAGGGUUAGGAGUCAAACUCUCUAAUCAUUAGGCUAAGACGUCCCCUUAGUUAACAAUUACAAAGAAACUCCUGAUAAUUAUUCAUUUAUUGCUAACAAAACA